RNAcentral lists this ribosomal RNA (292 nucleotides) under uncultured bacterium. Its description in RNAcentral is "partial 16S ribosomal RNA". It matches the Rfam family "Bacterial small subunit ribosomal RNA", at positions 773 to 1060 of the family's 1533-position model. The record is from RNAcentral.
GUGGAUUAGAUACCCUGGUAGUCCACGCCGUAAACGAUGAUAACUAGCUGUCCGGGCACAUGGUGCUUGGGUGGCGCAGCUAACGCAUUAAGUUAUCCGCCUGGGGAGUACGGUCGCAAGAUUAAAACUCAAAGGAAUUGACGGGGGCCUGCACAAGCGGUGGAGCAUGUGGUUUAAUUCGAAGCAACGCGCAGAACCUUACCAGCCUUUGACAUCCCGGUCGCGAUUACCAGAGAUGGUUUUCUUCAGUUCGGCUGGACCGGUGACAGGUGCUGCAUGGCCGUCGUCAACU